Molecule: ribosomal RNA, 446 nt
Filed under: uncultured Haliea sp.
Lineage: Bacteria; Pseudomonadati; Pseudomonadota; Gammaproteobacteria; Cellvibrionales; Halieaceae
Description: bacterial SSU rRNA
Rfam family: Bacterial small subunit ribosomal RNA
Source: RNAcentral
AUUGAACGCUGGCGGCAGGCCUAACACAUGCAAGUCGAGCGCGAAAGGUCUUCGGACUGAGUAGAGCGGCGGACGGGUGAGUAACGCGUAGGAAUCUACCUGGUGGUGGGGGACAACAUGGUGAAAACCAUGCUAAUACCGCAUACGCCCUAUGGGGGAAAGCGGGGGACCUUCGGGCCUCGCGCUAUCAGAUGAGCCUGCGUAGGAUUAGCUUGUUGGUGAGGUAAAGGCUCACCAAGGCGACGAUCCUUAGCUGGUCUGAGAGGAUGAUCAGCCACACUGGAACUGAGACACGGUCCAGACUCCUACGGGAGGCAGCAGUGGGGAAUAUUGCGCAAUGGGCGAAAGCCUGACGCAGCCAUGCCGCGUGUGUGAAGAAGGCCUUUGGGUUGUAAAGCACUUUCAAUUGGGAAGAAAGGUUGCGUGUUAAUAGCACGUAGCUGUGA